RNAcentral lists this ribosomal RNA (253 nucleotides) under uncultured bacterium. RNAcentral's name for it is "partial 16S ribosomal RNA". It matches the Rfam family "Bacterial small subunit ribosomal RNA", at positions 524 to 776 of the family's 1533-position model. The record is from RNAcentral.
UACGUAGGCAGCGAGCGUUGUUCGGAGUUACUGGGCGUAAAGGGUGUGUAGGCGGUUGUUUAAGUUUGGUGUGAAAUCUCCCGGCUCAACUGGGAGGGUGCGCCGAAUACUGAAUGACUCGAGUGUGGGAGAGGUGAGUGGAAUUCCUGGUGUAGCGGUGAAAUGCGUAGAUAUCAGGAGGAACACCGGUGGUGUAGACGGCUCACUGGACCAUAACUGACGCUGAGACACGAAAGCGUGGGGAGCGAACAGG